This 1554-nucleotide ribosomal RNA is filed under the name Triticum aestivum (bread wheat). RNAcentral describes it as "partial small subunit ribosomal RNA". Lineage: Eukaryota; Viridiplantae; Streptophyta; Magnoliopsida; Poales; Poaceae. The record is from RNAcentral.
AUGUACUCUGUCUCUGACAUGGACUACGUGCUCCAAAAUCCAGCAUUGUUCGUGCACCUUUAUGAGUAUGUAAUUGAGGAUAUUGAAAUGCAUGAGGCUGAGAAAAUGCUUUUCAAGAUGCGUCAGUUGAUCGAGCAGACGGGUGUGCUGGUUCAUGUCCAAAACAGACUUAAUCUUGAGCAACUGUGUGUACUGGUCCAUCAUAUCUCAGGGCUCACAGUAGACGUGGAGAAGCUUAAGGCUAUGUUUAAGCUAGAGAAAAUGGACAGAGAUUUAAUUGGUUCAGUUGAGGCUGUCAUUCCAGAGCUCCUUUUGCAAACUACUCGUCAGCCAGAGAAUGUUCAGAAUUCUACAGAAGCACUCUGUGAUGCUCUCAGUGUAUUUGUGGCUGCUACAACAGAUGACGUGCCAGCUCACCAGAUUGACGACACAGUUGCUCUAGAAUUGCCUCAACUAGUGCAUGGCGUUUCAGAACCUGCUGCUGACCAACCUCCCCAAGUUGACUAUUCUGUUUUCACUGAUCUUCUCAAUGCUGUAACUCAUAGAGUGGAUGCCUUGAUGACCCUAUGGAUUAAGUAUCCAUCCACCGCAACGCAAAUCAAUGUGGCAGAUGUAGUUGCUGCUCACAUGAUCGUUGUGGAUGACGAGGUGGAGGGCGGGGAAGACCUUGCCGAGGGUGUGAUACCGUCGGAGGUGGGUGCCGACAAUGACCAUCCUGAAGUGGAGGCUGCCAACGAUCCGCUGGAGGUGGAGGGCGGGGAAGACCUUGCCGAGGACGUGAUGCCGCUGGAGCUGGGUGCCAACAAUGAUCAGCCUGAAGUGGAGGCCGCCAACGAUCCGCUGGAGGAGGAUGACGAUGACGACGACGACGAUGAUGAUGAUGAUGAUGAUGAUGAUGAGGAGGAGGAGGAGGAGGAGAGGAGGAAGAGGAGGCGGAUAUUUCCUGCUUCAGACAAUGAGGAGUAUUCACAGUAUGACGAGGUGCUGGAAGAGGAUUUUGGAGCCUAUAACAUGUACUCUGUCUCUGACAUGGACUACGUGCUCCAAAAUCCAGCAUUGUUCACGCACCGUUAUGAGUAUGUAAUUGAGGCUAUUGAGAUGCAUGAGGCUGAGCAAAUGCUUUUCAAGAUGCGUCAGUUGAUCGAGCAGACGGGUGUGCUGGUUCAUGUCCAAAACAGACUUAAUCUUGAGCAACUAUGUGUACCGGUCCAUCAUAUCUCAGGGCUCACAGUAGACGUGGAGAAGCUUAAGGCUAUGUUUAAGCUUGAGAAAAUGGACAGAGAUUUAAUUGGUUCAGUUGAGGCUGUCAUUCCAGAGCUCCUUUUGCAAACUACUCGUCAGCCAGAGAAUGUUCAGAAUUCUACAGAAGCACUCUGUGAUGCUCUCGGUGUAUUUGUGGCUGCUACAACAGAUGACGUGCCAGCUCACCAGAUUGACGACACAGUUGCUCUAGAAUUGCCUCAACCAGUGCAUGGCGUCUUGAAUUCAGAACCUGUUGCUGACCAACCUCCCCAAGUUGACUAUUUGUUUUCACUGAUCUUCUCAAUGCUGUAA